RNAcentral lists this ribosomal RNA (253 nucleotides) under uncultured bacterium. RNAcentral's name for it is "partial 16S ribosomal RNA". It matches the Rfam family "Bacterial small subunit ribosomal RNA", at positions 524 to 776 of the family's 1533-position model. The record is from RNAcentral.
UACGUAGGGGGCAAGCGUUGUCCGGAUUUAUUGGGCGUAAAGAACGUGUAGGCGGCCAAGCAGGUCAGCUGUGAAAACUCGAGGCUCAACCUCGAGACGUCGGUUGAAACCGCUUGGCUAGAGUCCGGAAGAGGAGGGUGGAAUUCCCGGUGUAGCGGUGAAAUGCGCAGAUAUCGGGAAGAACACCCGUGGCGAAGGCGGCUCUCUGGGACGGUACUGACGCUGAGACGCGAAAGCGUGGGGAGCGAACAGG